This 373-nucleotide ribosomal RNA is filed under the name uncultured organism. Its description in RNAcentral is "partial 16S ribosomal RNA". It matches the Rfam family "Bacterial small subunit ribosomal RNA", at positions 527 to 896 of the family's 1533-position model. The record is from RNAcentral.
GUAGGUGGCAAGUGUUGUCCGGAAUUAUUGGGCGUAAAGCGCGCGCAGGUGGUUCUUUAAGUCUGAUGUGAAAGCCCCCGGCUCAACCGGGGAGGGUCAUUGGAAACUGGGGAACUUGAGUGCAGGAGAGGAAAGUGGAAUUCCACGUGUAGCGGUGAAAUGCGUAGAUAUGUGGAGGAACACCAGUGGCGAAGGCGACUUUCUGGCCUGUAACUGACACUGAGGCGCGAAAGCGUGGGGAGCAAACAGGGAUUAGAUACCCUGGUAGUCCACGCCGUAAACGAUGAGUGCUAAGUGUUGGGGGGGUUUCCCGCCCCUCAGUGCUGCAGCUAACGCAUUAAGCACUCCGCCUGGGGAUACGGUCGCAAGACUG